UUCGGAUUGUAGUCUGCAACCCGACUACAUGAAGCUGGAAUCGCUAGUAAUCGCGGAUCAGAAUGCCGCGGUGAAUACGUUCCCGGGUCUUGUACACACCGCCCGUCACACCAUGGGAGUCGGAAAUGCCCGAAGUCUGUGACCCAACCUACGGGAGGGAGCAGCCGAAGGCAGGUCGGAUGACUGGGUGAAGUCGUAACAAGGUAUC
RNAcentral lists this ribosomal RNA (208 nucleotides) under uncultured bacterium. RNAcentral describes it as "partial 16S ribosomal RNA". It matches the Rfam family "Bacterial small subunit ribosomal RNA", at positions 1292 to 1500 of the family's 1533-position model. The record is from RNAcentral.